This 763-nucleotide ribosomal RNA is filed under the name uncultured organism. Its description in RNAcentral is "bacterial SSU rRNA". It matches the Rfam family "Bacterial small subunit ribosomal RNA", at positions 48 to 797 of the family's 1533-position model. The record is from RNAcentral.
CUUACACAUGCAAGUCGAACGGUAACAGGCGAGAGCUUGCUCUUGCGCUGACGAGUGGCGGACGGGUGGGUAAUGCGUAGGAAUCUGCCCUGCAGCGGGGGAUAGCCCGGGGAAACCCGGAUUAAUACCGCAUACGCUCUACGGAGGAAAGUGGGCCUCUUCAUGAAAGCUCACACUGCAGGAUGAGCCUACGUCCGAUUAGCUUGUUGGUGGGGUAAAAGCCUACCAAGGCGACGAUCGGUAGCUGGUCUGAGAGGAUGAUCAGCCACACCGGGACUGAGACACGGCCCGGACUCCUACGGGAGGCAGCAGUGGGGAAUAUUGGACAAUGGGCGAAAGCCUGAUCCAGCAAUGCCGCGUGUGUGAAGAAGGCCUGCGGGUUGUAGAGCACUUUUAUCAGGGAAGAAACGGCCUGGCCUAAUACGUCAUGGCAAUUGACGGUACCUGAAGAAUAAGCACCGGCUAACUCCGUGCCAGCAGCCGCGGUAAUACGGAGGGUGCAAGCGUUAAUCGGAAUUACUGGGCGUAAAGCGUGCGCAGGCGGCUGCCUAAGUCGGAUGUGAAAGCCCCGGGCUUAAGCUGGGAAUUGCAUUCGAUACUGGGUAGCUAGAGUUUGGUAGAGGUAAGUGGAAUUCCGGGUGUAGCGGUGAAAUGCGUAGAUAUCCGGAGGAACAUCAGUGGCGAAGGCGGCUUACUGGACCAAAACUGACGCUCAGGCACGAAAGCGUGGGUAGCAAACAGGAUUAGAUACCCUGGUAGUCCA